CCCUCCCCGCCUGCUGCUCCCUCUUCUGGGCCUCUCCUCCCUACUGUCUGCUCUCUUAGGCUGGUUUGUUAUGGCAUGAAAGAUGGCUCCGUGGAAUAAAGAUGUUUCCCCUCUGAUGAGCACAUUUGCAGAAGGAGGAGGAUUGACACCAGCCACACGUAUGUCUGCUGCUGACAAAUGUGCGCACGCCUUGGAGGGCGGGGCCAGGCAGGACAGAGCCGCCCAUGACAGGGGGACACCUCCUGGUUUAGUGCACUUAUCAAAGAGACAUCGGAGAGAUCCCUUGUGCCUUCUGCCAUGUGAGUUAUAGUGAGAAGACAGCCAUCUACUAGGAAUCAGACCGUCAUCAGACACCAAAUCUGCCAGCACCUUGAUCUUAGAUUUCCCAGACUCCAGAACUGUUAGAAAUAAAUUUCUGUUGUUUAUAAGCCA
RNAcentral lists this long non-coding RNA (432 nucleotides) under Homo sapiens (human). RNAcentral describes it as "novel transcript". The record is from RNAcentral. Lineage: Eukaryota; Metazoa; Chordata; Mammalia; Primates; Hominidae.